UCCGUCAACUAAUGGGCUACUAGUUUUUUUACAUAAUUACAGCAGAACUAAAACUGCUUAAGUGACGGAAUAUUUUAAGAAACAUUUGGCGCUAUCAGAUGUGGCGAAAGCCUGCGGAAUAUAUUGGGUCAACAAAUUUAGCAUUUAACUGUUAGGAAUAGCGCUCCUAGCAGUUUUUU
This 179-nucleotide non-coding RNA is filed under the name unclassified sequences. RNAcentral describes it as "FuFi-1 RNA". It matches the Rfam family "FuFi-1 RNA". The record is from Rfam by way of RNAcentral.